AGAAUCAACGCUGGCGGCGUGCCUAACACAUGCAAGUCGAACGAGAAAGUGGAGCAAUCCAUGAGUAAAGUGGCGACCGGGUGAGUAACACGUGACUAACCUACCUUCGAGUGGGGGAUAACCUCGGGAAACCGAGGCUAAUACCGCAUAACAUCGUGAGAUCAAAGCAGUAAUGCGCUGGAAGAGGGGGUCGCGGCUGAUUAGCUAGUUGGCGGGGUAAUGGCCCACCAAGGCGAAGAU
RNAcentral lists this ribosomal RNA (240 nucleotides) under uncultured bacterium. RNAcentral's name for it is "partial small subunit ribosomal RNA". It matches the Rfam family "Bacterial small subunit ribosomal RNA", at positions 26 to 280 of the family's 1533-position model. The record is from RNAcentral.